CACUCUGAUAUUCCUAAAUGGCUUCAGUUCAGCAAUCGUGGGCAUGCUGAGGGGAUAAAGGAAUACCAUAUGUCCUGCUCACCUCCGUGGUCUGCUGUGGACGUAUACAUCAUUGUCAUCCUGAUUAUAAGAUCUCACAGAAUUUAUCUCAGUGCCUUUCAGCUUUCAUCUUUCUUCCUGUCUUUUCUGACCUAUAAACAACUGGGAAUAUAAACUUAGAAAUAUAUAAGAAUAGUACUAAAGUGAGGCCUCUAUGGAAAAGGAAUACAAGAUAUUUUUGUAUAGUUCUGUGGCAUCCCAAAUGUGAAGUUUUAGACAUACUCAGUCAAGAAUCACAUAAAAAUGGGGACACAUUCUGAGACUCAGUAUCUGGUCACUUCAUAAUUCUGUGUGCCUCUAUACAAUGGAUUUUCACAAACAUGGAUGACACAAUCCACCACUCAAAACUCAAAAUGAUCCAUUUAUGCAAACAAGGAACAUGCUAAGCAAAAGACAAAAGAGGAUUAUGCAAGCCAGCACAGCAUACAGUAUUCACGUAUGUAUUUUAUAGAGCACCAUAAAGACAGAGCCAGGGCAAGCGAGAGCCGGAUGGGCACUGGGCAACUCUGUGCUUCAUGGAGGAAAAUCAAGUAAACUUGGGCAAAGGAGAUCCUAAGAAGCCGAGAGGCAAAAUGUCCUCGUAUGCAUUCUUUGGGCAAACCUCCCAGGAGGAACCCAAGAAGAAGCACCCGAUGCUUCUGUCAACUUCUUAGAGUUCUCUUAAGUGCUCAGAGAGGUGGAAGACCAUGUCUGCUAAAGAAAAGCGGAAAAUUGAAGAUAUGGCAAACAAAGUCUGACAUGGCUCGUUAUGAAAGAGAAAUGAAAACCUACAUCCCCAAAAGGGGAGACCAAAAGAAGUUCAAGGACCCCAGUGCCCCCAGGGGCCUCCUUCGGCCUCUUCUUGUUCUGUUUUGACUACUGCCCAAAAAUCAAAGGCGAGCAUCUUGGCUUAUCCGUUGGUGAUGUCACAAAGAAACUAGGAGAGAUGUGGAACAGCACUGCCGCGGAUGACACAGCAGCCCUAGGAGAAGAAGGGCGCCAAGCUGAAGGAGAAGUACGAGAAGGAUAUUGCUGCCUACAGAGCUAAAGGAAAAUCUGAUGCAGCAAAAAAAGGGGGUGGUCAAGGCUGAAAAGAGCAAGAAAAAGAAGGAAGAGGAAGAGGAUGAGGAGGAUGAAGAGGAUGAGCAAGAGGAAGAAGAGGAAGACGAAGAGACAUAGGUCUGGGCUGCUCUUAACCUCCUCAAAGAAGCUUCUCCUUGCAGUAAUCAUUGGUUAAUACAGAGGCUCUGAAGUUGUCCAAGUGCUGAGAAAAUUAAUAUGCAAGGAAGUGCAGGCCGACAGGAACUGGAUGUAGAUCUCUCCUGAGAGACACACCCAGAAUACAGCAAAUACAGAGGCGAAUGCCAGCAGCAAACCACUGAACUGAGAACGGGAUCCCAGUUGAAGGAAUCAGAGAAAGAACUGAAAGAGCUUGAAGGGGCUCGAGACCCCAUAUGAACAACAAUGCCAAGCAACCAGAGCUUCCAGGGACUAAGCCACUACCUAAAGACUAUACAUGGACUGACCCUGGACUCUGACCUCAUAGGUAGCAAUGAAUAUCCUAGUAAGUGCACCAGUGGAAGGGGAAGCCCUGGGUCCUGCUAAGACUGAACCGCCAGUGAACGUGAUU
This is a non-coding RNA of Rattus norvegicus (Norway rat), 1708 nucleotides long. The record is from RefSeq and is a predicted model, not a curated record. NCBI's taxonomy places the organism in Eukaryota, Metazoa, Chordata, Mammalia, Rodentia, Muridae.